UACCGGAUAGCUCAGUUGGUAGAGCAUGAGACUAUUAAUCUCAGGGACGUGGGUUUGAGCCCGACAUUGGGUGAA
Non-coding RNA from Podarcis lilfordi (Lilford's wall lizard), 75 nucleotides. NCBI's taxonomy places the organism in Eukaryota, Metazoa, Chordata, Lepidosauria, Squamata, Lacertidae. The record is from the annotation of a GenBank genome assembly.